CAAGUUUUUAAGGGCGCACGGUGGAUGCCUUGGCACCAGGAACCGAUGAAGGACGUGGGAGGCCACGAUAGGCCCCGGGGAGCUGUCAACCGAGCUUUGAUCCGGGGGUGUCCGAAUGGGGAAACCCGGCAGUCGUCAUGGGCUGUCACCCGCUGCUGAACACAUAGGCAGUGUGGAGGGAACGCGGGGAAGUGAAACAUCUCAGUACCCGCAGGAAGAGAAAACAACCGUGAUUCCGGGAGUAGUGGCGAGCGAAACUGGAUGAGGCCAAACCAGUCACGUGUGAUACCCGGCAGGGGUUGCGUGGUUGGGGUUGUGGGAUCUCUCUUUUGCAGUCUGCCGGCUGUGAGGCGAGUCAGAAACCGUUGAUGUAGGCGAAGGACAUGCGAAAGGUCCGGCGUAGAGGGUAAGACCCCCGUAGCUGAAACAUUAGCGGCUCGUUUGAGAGACACCCAAGUAGCACGGGGCCCGAGAAAUCCCGUGUGAAUCUGGCGGGACCACCCGUUAAGCCUAAAUAUUCCCUGGUGACCGAUAGCGGAUAGUACCGUGAGGGAAUGGUGAAAAGUACCGCGGGAGCGGAGUGAAAUAGUACCUGAAACCGUGUGCCUACAAGCCGUGGGAGCGUCGCUGGUGAGUUUACUCAUCAGUCGUGACUGCGUGCCUUUUGAAGAAUGAGCCUGCGAGUUUGCGGUAUGUUGCGAGGUUAACCCGUGUGGGGAAGCCGUAGCGAAAGCGAGUCCGAAUAGGGCGUGGAGUAGCAUGCUCAAGACCCGAAGCGGAGUGAUCUAGCCAUGGGCAGGUUGAAGCGGAGGUAAGACUUCGUGGAGGACCGAACCCACCAGGGUUGAAAACCUGGGGGAUGACCUGUGGUUAGGGGUGAAAGGCCAAUCAAACUCCGUGAUAGCUGGUUCUCCCCGAAAUGCAUUUAGGUGCAGCGUCGUGUGUUUCUUGCCGGAGGUAGAGCACUGGAUAGGCGAUGGGCCCUACCGGGUUACUGACCUUAGCCAAACUCCGAAUGCCGGUAAGUGAGAGCGCGGCAGUGAGACUGUGGGGGAUAAGCUCCAUGGUCGAGAGGGAAACAGCCCAGAGCAUCGACUAAGGCCCCUAAGCGUGUGCUAAGUGGGAAAGGAUGUGGAGUCGCAGAGACAACCAGGAGGUUGGCUUAGAAGCAGCCACCCUUGAAAGAGUGCGUAAUAGCUCACUGGUCAAGUGAUUCCGCGCCGACAAUGUAGCGGGGCUCAAGUACACCGCCGAAGUCGUGUCAUUGCGAUAUUACUCCUAACGGGGAUCGUGAUGGGUAGGGGAGCGUCGUGUGCCGGGUGAAGCAGCCGUGGAAACGAGUUGUGGACGGUUCACGAGUGAGAAUGCAGGCAUGAGUAGCGAUACAAGAGUGGGAAACUCUUGCGCCGAUUGACUAAGGGUUCCUGGGUCAAGCUGAUCUGCCCAGGGUAAGUCGGGACCUAAGGCGAGGCCGACAGGCGUAGUCGAUGGACAACCGGUUGAUAUUCCGGUACCCGCUUUGAAGCGCCCAAUACUGAAUCAGGCGAUGCUAAGUCCGUGAAGCCGCCCUGAUCUCUUCGGAGUUGAGGGGAGUGGUGGAGCCGACGGACCAGACUUGUAGUAGGUAAGCGAUGGGGUGACGCAGGAAGGUAGUCCAGCCCGGGCGGUGGUUGUCCCGGGGUAAGGGUGUAGGCCGUGUGGUAGGUAAAUCCGUCGCACGUUAAGGCUGAGACCUGAUGCCGAGCCGAUUGUGGUGAAGUGGAUGAUCCUAUGCUGUCGAGAAAAGCCUCUAGUGAGUUUCAAGGCGGCCCGUACCCUAAACCGACUCAGGUGGUCAGGUAGAGAAUACCGAGGCGUUCGGGUGAACUAUGGUUAAGGAACUCGGCAAAAUGCCCCCGUAACUUCGGGAGAAGGGGGGCCAUUUCUGGUGAGGGAACUUGCUUCCUGAGCUGGGGGUGGCCGCAGAGACCAGCGAGAAGCGACUGUUUACUAAAAACACAGGUCCGUGCGAAGCCGUAAGGCGAUGUAUACGGACUGACGCCUGCCCGGUGCUGGAACGUUAAGGGGACCGGUUAGCUUGGAUUCGUUCAGGCGAAGCUGAGAACUUAAGCGCCAGUAAACGGCGGUGGUAACUAUAACCAUCCUAAGGUAGCGAAAUUCCUUGUCGGGUAAGUUCCGACCUGCACGAAUGGCGUAACGACUUCUCGACUGUCUCAACCAUAGGCCCGGUGAAAUUGCAUUACGAGUAAAGAUGCUCGUUUCGCGCAGCAGGACGGAAAGACCCCGGGACCUUUACUAUAGCUUGAUAUUGGUGUUCGGUUCGGCUUGUGUAGGAUAGGUGGGAGACUGUGAAGCGCCAACGCCAGUUGGUGUGGAGUCGUUGUUGAAAUACCACUCUGGUCGUGCUGGAUGUCUAACCUGGGUCCGUGAUCCGGAUCAGGGACAGUGUCUGGUGGGUAGUUUAACUGGGGCGGUUGCCUCCUAAAGAGUAACGGAGGCGCCCAAAGGUUCCCUCAGCCUGGUUGGUAAUCAGGUGUUGAGUGUAAGUGCACAAGGGAGCUUGACUGUGAGACUGACGGGUCGAGCAGGUACGAAAGUAGGGACUAGUGAUCCGGCGGUGGCUUGUGGAAGCGCCGUCGCUCAACGGAUAAAAGGUACCCCGGGGAUAACAGGCUGAUCUUCCCCAAGAGUCCAUAUCGACGGGAUGGUUUGGCACCUCGAUGUCGGCUCGUCGCAUCCUGGGGCUGGAGUCGGUCCCAAGGGUUGGGCUGUUCGCCCAUUAAAGCGGUACGCGAGCUGGGUUUAGAACGUCGUGAGACAGUUCGGUCCCUAUCCGCUGUGCGCGUAGGAGUCUUGAGAAGGGCUGUCCCUAGUACGAGAGGACCGGGACGGACGAACCUCUGGUGUGCCAGUUGUUCUGCCAAGGGCAUGGCUGGUUGGCUACGUUCGGAAAGGAUAACCGCUGAAAGCAUCUAAGCGGGAAGCCUGCUUCGAGAUGAGGGCUCCCUCCUCCUUGAGAGGGUAAGGCUCCCAGUAGACGACUGGGUUGAUAGGCCAGAUAUGGAAGCACUGUAAGGUGUGGAGUUGACUGGUACUAAUAGGCCGAGGGCUUGUCC
Molecule: ribosomal RNA, 3116 nt
Filed under: Streptomyces noursei
Lineage: Bacteria; Bacillati; Actinomycetota; Actinomycetes; Kitasatosporales; Streptomycetaceae
Description: 23S ribosomal RNA
Rfam family: Bacterial large subunit ribosomal RNA
Source: RNAcentral